RNAcentral lists this ribosomal RNA (251 nucleotides) under uncultured bacterium. RNAcentral describes it as "partial 16S ribosomal RNA". It matches the Rfam family "Bacterial small subunit ribosomal RNA", at positions 525 to 775 of the family's 1533-position model. The record is from RNAcentral.
ACGUAGGUGGCAAGCGUUGUCCGGAUUUAUUGGGCGUAAAGCGAGUGCAGGCGGUUUUUUAAGUCUGAUGUGAAAGCCUUCGGCUUAACCGAAGAAAUGCAUUGGAAACUGGGAAACUUGAGUGCAGAAGAGGAGAGUGGAAUUCCAUGUGUAGCGGUGAAAUGCGUAGAUAUUAGGAGGAACACCAGUGGCGAAGGCGGCUUGCUGGACAACAACUGACGUUGAGGCUCGAAAGCGUGGGGAGCAAACAG